GACGAACGCUGGCGGCGUGCUUAACACAUGCAAGUCGAGCGGUAAGGCCCUUUCGGGGGUACACGAGCGGCGAACGGGUGAGUAACACGUGGGUGACCUGCCCUCAGCUCUGGGAUAAGCCUGGGAAACCGGGUCUAAUACUGGAUAUGACUCCAUGACGCAUGUUGUGGGGUGGAAAGCCUUGUGCGGCUGAGGAUGGGCCCGCGGCCUAUCAGCUUGUUGGUGGGGUGANGGGCCUACCAAGGCGACGACGGGUAGCCGGCCUGAGAGGGCGACCGGCCACACUGGGACUGAGACACGGCCCAGACUCCUACGGGAGGCAGCAGUGGGGAAUCUUGCGCAAUGGGCGAAAGCCUGACGCAGCGACGCCGCGUGAGGGAUGACGGCCUGGUGUAA
This 396-nucleotide ribosomal RNA is filed under the name uncultured bacterium. RNAcentral describes it as "bacterial SSU rRNA". It matches the Rfam family "Bacterial small subunit ribosomal RNA", at positions 28 to 428 of the family's 1533-position model. The record is from RNAcentral.